CCUAGGGUGGCAGCAGUUAGGAAUAUUGGUCAACGGGCGUAAGCCUGAACCAGCCAAGUCGCGUGAGGGAUGAAGGUUCUAUGGAUCGUAAACCUCUUUUAUAAGGGAAUAAAGUGUGGGACGUGUCCUAUUUUGUAUGUAACUUAUGAUUAAGGAUCGGCUAACUCCGUGCCAGCAGCCGCGGUAAUACGGAGGAUCCGAGCGUUAUCCUGAUUUAUUGGGUUUAAAGGGUGCGUAUGCGGCAUUUUAAGUCAGCGGUGAAAGUCUGUGGCUCAAACAUAUAAUUGCCGUGGAAACUGGGGAGCGAGAGUAUGUUUGAGGCAGGCGGAAUGCGAGGUGUAGCGGUGAAAUGCUUAGAUAUCACGCAGAACACC
RNAcentral lists this ribosomal RNA (374 nucleotides) under uncultured bacterium. Its description in RNAcentral is "partial 16S ribosomal RNA". It matches the Rfam family "Bacterial small subunit ribosomal RNA", at positions 338 to 710 of the family's 1533-position model. The record is from RNAcentral.